Molecule: ribosomal RNA, 253 nt
Filed under: uncultured bacterium
Lineage: Bacteria
Description: partial 16S ribosomal RNA
Rfam family: Bacterial small subunit ribosomal RNA
Source: RNAcentral
UACGUAGGUGGCAAGCGUUAUCCGGAUUUACUGGGUGUAAAGGGCGUGUAGGCGGGGAAGCAAGUCAGAUGUGAAAACCACGGGCUCAACCUGUGGCCUGCAUUUGAAACUGUUUUUCUUGAGUGCUGGAGAGGCAAUCGGAAUUCCGUGUGUAGCGGUGAAAUGCGUAGAUACACGGAGGAACACCAGUGGCGAAGGCGGAUUGCUGGACAGUAACUGACGCUGAGGCGCGAAAGCGUGGGGAGCAAACAGG